Molecule: ribosomal RNA, 403 nt
Filed under: Haliclona mucosa
Lineage: Eukaryota; Metazoa; Porifera; Demospongiae; Haplosclerida; Chalinidae
Description: eukaryotic LSU rRNA
Rfam family: Eukaryotic large subunit ribosomal RNA
Source: RNAcentral
NACGCCCUCAGAUCGAGCGAGACUUACCCGCUGAACUUAAGCAUAUCAAUAAGCGGAGGAAGAGAAACCAACAGGGAUUCCCUCAGUAACGGCGAGCGAAGUGGGAUGACUGCCCAGGUCUUUAAUCUCCGAUCGGGCUACUGUUGUCGAUCGGCGAAUUGUGGUCUGGAGAGGCAAACUGUCCCGAUCCACCGCUCCUUUGUUUGGGCCCGAAGUCGACUUGGAACGGCGUGCCUAGAGGGUGAGAGNCCCGUAGGGCANGGAAACCGGGAGCGGCGGGGCGAGAGUUUGUGCUCGUAGAGUCGGGUUGUUUGGGAUUGCAGCCCAAAGCGGGUGGUAGACUCCAUCCAAGGNUGAAUACUGGUGCGAGACCGAUAGCGAACAAGUACCGUGAGGGAANNNN